RNAcentral lists this long non-coding RNA (1632 nucleotides) under Ooceraea biroi (clonal raider ant). RNAcentral describes it as "uncharacterized LOC113562617". The record is from RNAcentral. Lineage: Eukaryota; Metazoa; Arthropoda; Insecta; Hymenoptera; Formicidae.
GUAUAAAUAUAUUAUAUGAUAUAAAUAGGAUGUGUAAAUUUCUCAUGUUUUAUGAUUAUCUAAAUAAAAUUAAUUACAUGAUCUUUUUAAAUUAAAUUAAAAAUUCGAUCAUUUUGUCAGGAAAAUGUACACGAAAUAAUACUUAUUAAUAUUUAUAUGAGAAACCUUAAGAAUAAACGAUACUAUUUAUUUUUCUUAUAUUAAAUUCCUUUUUUUAACUUUUUGUUUUCUAAUCCUUUAAAAACUAAAGAUCUAUAAGAUAAUAUAUAUAAUAUUAUCAUAUCAUCAUAUUAUUGGCAAUCAUAUUAUUGGACCGUAUUUUAUUGAUGGAUCAUUAACAGGUCAGAAGUAUUCGAUAUUUUUGUCUGAAAUACUGUCAAAUUUAUUACAAAAUGUACCGUAUCAAAUUCGUUUAACAAUGUGGUACCAACAUGAUGGUUGUCCCGCACAUUACGCGCAGCAAGCACGGCGAGUAUUACAAAGACAGUUUCCUAACCGGUGGAUUGGACGGGGCGGUGAUGUUGUAUGGCCAGCUCGUUCACCGGACUUAACACCGCUUGAUUACUUUCUAUGGGGGGCAGUAAAAAACGACGUAUAUCGCGAACCACCAACAACAGUAGAGGAUAUGCGAGAACGCAUUAUUAAUACAUGUGCUGCUAUAACUCCGGACAUGCUUCAGAAUGCUAAUCGUUCGUUCAUUAAGAGGUUACGCAGUUGUAUUGAGAAUGACGGACGUUAGUUCGAGCAAUAUUUGAAAUAAUAAAAGCGUUGGACAUUCUAUCGGAAUCCGAGAAAAAAUGUUGAACAUCCCAUUUAAAAAACUGAAGGUGACCUUCAUAUUUCGAUAAAAAAGAAAGAUAGCAAACAAAUGAUCAUUGCAUUAUGUGUCCCCCUUCGUACUAUGCAACUUUUGUCAGAACAAUUUUUUCAUAUAGCACAUAUGUUACGAUUUAUUUAAGGUCGUCAAGUUAGGUGACUCACCCUGUAUAUAUAAUAUUUAUGUAAUAAAUAUCUUUUUAUGUCAAGUGCUUGUUUAGAUUAAAUAAAAUGAAUAAAUGAAUUAAGAAUUGGGAAAAGGAAAGAAAGAGGUCUAUAAUUAAAAAUCACAUGCCUAAUAAAAUCGGUAUAAUAAUCGUAUAUAAUUUUUUCAAAUCUUCUUAGAUUUGUUUUUCAUUUUACAUACAUAUAUCGUGUGGUUCGAAAAUAACUACUUCGUAUAUACAUGUACAGAGACAGUGCCGUGCGCGCUGUGUAUCUAUAUUAUAAUUACACAUGACAAUAAUAAUUAUAUAAUAAACAAUCUAUGUUACAACAAAUUAUUGUUCGUCAAAAAGCAAAGAUAGAAACUCUCUCUCUCUCAUAUACAUACACAUACCAUACACGUUUUCUCUCUUUCAUUCUCAUCUAUGCUUAAUAAUAUACAAGCGAUCAAUAUUUUUUAAUAUAACGGUAAUUAUAAUAUACAUUGUACAACACUUUGGAGGAAUGUGAUGGCGUCUCUAAUUAGCACCACAACUUCUUGGAUCUAUCGAUUCUCAAUUCUUAAUUAAUCUUGGAUGUAAAGCAACCAAGAAUACGAUCAUCUAAAUUUGGUUAACGUCUAUUAUUUAAAAGAACGUUACUUUUUAAUUU